Molecule: ribosomal RNA, 449 nt
Filed under: uncultured Paracoccus sp.
Lineage: Bacteria; Pseudomonadati; Pseudomonadota; Alphaproteobacteria; Rhodobacterales; Paracoccaceae
Description: bacterial SSU rRNA
Rfam family: Bacterial small subunit ribosomal RNA
Source: RNAcentral
AGACGUUUGAUCCUGGCUCAGACGACGCUGGCGGCAGGCCUAACACAUGCAAGUCGAGCGGACCCUUCGGGGUUAGCGGCGGACGGGUGAGUAACGCGUGGGAAUAUGCCCUUCUCUACGGAAUGGUCCUGGGAAACUGGGGUAAUACCGUAUACGCCUUUGGGGAAAGAUUUAUCGGGGAAGGAUUAGCCCGCGUUGGAUUAGGUAGUUGGUGGGGUAAUGGCCUACCAAGCCGACGAUCCAUAGCUGGUUUGAGAGGAUGAUCAGCCACACUGGGACUGAGACACGGCCCAGACUCCUACGGGAGACAGCAGUGGGGAAUCUUAGACAAUGGGGGCAACCCUGAUCUAGCCAUGCCGCGUGAGUGAUGAAGGCCUUAGGGUUGUAAAGCUCUUUCAGCUGGGAAGAUAAUGACGGUACCAGCAGAAGAAGCCCCGGCUAACUCCGUG